This is a non-coding RNA of Brachypodium distachyon (stiff brome), 118 nucleotides long. NCBI's taxonomy places the organism in Eukaryota, Viridiplantae, Streptophyta, Magnoliopsida, Poales, Poaceae. The record is from Rfam.
UUUAUACUCCCUCCGUCCCAAAUUAACUGUCAUGGAUUUGCAUAUGAAUCUAUGCAAAUCCAUGACAGUUAAUAUAUGCAAAUCCAUGACAGUUAAUUUGGGGCGGAGGGAGUAACAU